ACCAAACCCAGUGAGGCGGUGCUUUAGUUUUGUUGGUGCUAACAUCAGGAAGAGUCUUAUAGAAGAUGUGAGACGGACUCUGCCAAGCUUCAAAUCCAGGUUGAAGACAUGCGCGGCUAGAAAGAUCAGAAGAAGAAGAUUCCAGCGUUUCAGAUGAGCUGCUUAUUUCCUUCUUUUCAUCAUUAUCGCCACAAUACCGCUCUUUGUUAUUCCUUCCAGGGUGGAAAAAUAAAAAAUAAAAUAAUAGACAAAGACAAUGAACAUCACUGGCAUCAUGAGAGUUACAGUAUAUCACAUGGACACAUUGCUCGGAAAACAACCAACCUGACUGUCUCUUCAGAGGACAGCUUUCCAGAAACGAGGACUUUCUUUUUCCUAAACUGAGCCUUUGCAUCCACAUCAGAUUCUGUUUAAGAAAUACUGCCUGUGUCAUUUCUGUUGGGCUCCAUCACCAAUAAUAAUGUAUAUAUUUACAUUACCGUCUCCGGUUGUCCUCUGGUCAAGUCUGUUGAGAGAGCGACUGUUCCUCAUGAACGGGGCAUUAGUGAGGGAGGAGGUGUGGAGGGAUGAAAAGCUCCGGCUGCUACAGAGCUGCAGAGCAGGUCUGGUUGGAUGAGAUGACGGCCUGGAAGCCCAAUGACCCCCACGACCUUUGUGGCUGCUUCUUUUCAAAGUGGCAACAGCCUUACUGUCUCCAUCGCUGCUGCUGACGCUGUUACUCCUUCGACCAUUUAAAGUAGCUUUCGAUGCACUGCUGCCAGCCUGUUUACUUCUACUAGAUACGGGCACUGUUAAUGAUGAUGCCUCCUUUGAGAGAGACAGAGAGAACGAUACAGACCUCAAACACUUUAUUGGUUCACUUUUUUGAUGAAGGAAAGGGACAUAAAGUCCAGCGAAAGCAAAACAACAACGAAAAUCUAAUUCAAUUCUUGAUUCUCGACUGUUUGCAUCAGAAAAAGGACCUCUGCCAAUACUUUGCUACACGUUUAUCUCAAUAAAACUUGGUUUGACAUACUA
Long non-coding RNA from Phycodurus eques (leafy seadragon), 1017 nucleotides. RefSeq lists it as uncharacterized. The record is from RefSeq and is a predicted model, not a curated record. The transcript is spliced from 2 exons. Lineage: Eukaryota; Metazoa; Chordata; Actinopteri; Syngnathiformes; Syngnathidae.